RNAcentral lists this ribosomal RNA (253 nucleotides) under uncultured bacterium. RNAcentral's name for it is "partial 16S ribosomal RNA". It matches the Rfam family "Bacterial small subunit ribosomal RNA", at positions 524 to 776 of the family's 1533-position model. The record is from RNAcentral.
UACGUAGGGGGCUAGCGUUGUCCGGAAUCAUUGGGCGUAAAGCGCGCGUAGGCGGCCCGGUAAGUCCGCUCUGAAAGUCCAGGGCUCAACCCUGGAAAGCGGGUGGAUACUGCCGGGCUAGAAUCCGGAAGAGGCGAGUGGAAUUCCUGGUGUAGCGGUGGAAAGCGCAGAUAUCAGGAGGAACACCGAUGGCGAAGGCAGCCCCCUGGGCUAACACUGACGCUCAGGCACGAAAGCGUGGGGAGCAAACAGG